This 43-nucleotide non-coding RNA is filed under the name Trichobilharzia regenti. Lineage: Eukaryota; Metazoa; Platyhelminthes; Trematoda; Strigeidida; Schistosomatidae. The record is from RNAcentral.
AUCCAGCCGACGUCCCAAAUAGGACGAAAUGCGCAUCCUGGAU